CGCCCUGUGGGGCUGAGGCGCGCGAGUGAGGCCGGAGAGUUUCCCCAGCCAUGCUGGCCCUGGCGCUGCUGCUGCCCCUGGCCCUGGCCGGGACCCCCGAGGUGACGGUGCCUCGACCCCGGGGGGUGGCCCUGAGCCAGCUGCCGUUCUACGACCCCUCGGGGCCGUUCCGCUGCCUGGACGGCUCCGGCGCCGUCGCCUUCAGCUGGGUCAACGACGAUUACUGCGACUGCCAGGAUGGGUCUGACGAGCCUGGGACCCCCGCGUGCCCCAACGGGCGAUUCCACUGCGCCAACGCCCGGGGCACCGCCCCCUAGCAUCCCCGCGGCCCACGUCAACGACGGCGCCUGGGUGUUCGGAUUUGGGGGCAAUUUGGGGGUCCUGGGGGAUUUGGGGGGAUUUUGGGGGUCCUGGGGGGGAUUUGGGGGAUUUUGGGAGACAUUUGUGGAGGUUUGGGCACCGCACCGUCCUCCCGGAGCAUCCCCAGGUCACGGCGCGCCCCCCCCUGGGGGUGCGGCCUGGGGGGUUUGGGGGGUCCCGAAGGGGUUUUGGGGGUCCUGGGAGCGGCUUGGGGGAUUUUGGGGGUCCUGGGGGGAUUUGGGGGUCCUGGGGAGGGUUUGGGGGGUCCUGGGGGGGAUUUGGGGGGAUUUUGGGGGUCCUGGCGGGGAUUUGGGGGGAUUUUGGGGGUCCUGGGGGGUCCUGGGGGGAUUUGGGGGGAUUUGGGGGUCCUGAAGGGGAUUUGGGUUUACCGAGGGGGUUUAGGGGCAUUUGGGGAGGUUUGGGCGCCGCAGCAUCCCCACGGCUCACAGCAACAACGGCGUCUGCG
RNAcentral lists this long non-coding RNA (826 nucleotides) under Camarhynchus parvulus. RNAcentral's name for it is "lncRNA (ENSCPVG00000018136.1)". Lineage: Eukaryota; Metazoa; Chordata; Aves; Passeriformes; Thraupidae. The record is from RNAcentral.